Molecule: unclassified non-coding RNA, 81 nt
Filed under: Polaribacter sp. Hel1_33_78
Lineage: Bacteria; Pseudomonadati; Bacteroidota; Flavobacteriia; Flavobacteriales; Flavobacteriaceae
Description: Flavo-1 RNA
Source: RNAcentral
UUAUAGCUACUCUGCGUUAGCGAUUAAAAUGGCAUCCUUUUUCGAGGAAUGAGAAAAAGAUAUAAUUGGGCGCGACCUUUA